This 253-nucleotide ribosomal RNA is filed under the name uncultured bacterium. RNAcentral describes it as "partial 16S ribosomal RNA". It matches the Rfam family "Bacterial small subunit ribosomal RNA", at positions 80 to 334 of the family's 1533-position model. The record is from RNAcentral.
UUUCUUUGCUGGCGACCGGCGCACGGGUGAGUAACACGUAUCCAACCUGCCCUUUACUCGGGGAUAGCCUUUCGAAAGAAAGAUUAAUACCCGAUAGCAUAAUGAUUCCGCAUGGUUUCAUUAUUAAAGGAUUCCGGUAAAGGAUGGGGAUGCGUUCCAUUAGGUUGUUGGUGAGGUAACGGCUCACCUAGUCUUCGAUGGAUAGGGGUUCUGAGAGGAAGGUCCCCCACAUUGGAACUGAGACACGGUCCAA